CAGUUGGAAACGACUGCUAAGACUGGAUAGGAAGUUUUAAGGCAUCUUGAAACUUUUAAAAGACCCGCAAGGGUAUGCUGAGAGAUGGGCUUGCGGCACAUUAGUUAGUUGGUAAGGUAACGGCUUACCAAGACCAUGAUGUGUAGCUGGACUGAGAGGUUGAACGGCCACAUUGGGACUGAGAUACGGCCCAAACUCCUACGGGAGGCAGCAGUAAGGAAUUUUCGGCAAUGGAGGAAACUCUGACCGAGCAACGCCGCGUGAACGAUGAAGUAUUUAGGUAUGUAAAGUUCUUUUAUUAAAGAAGAAAAAAUGAUGGAAAAAUCAUUCUGACGGUAUUUAAUGAAUAAGCCCCGGCUAACUAUGUGCCAGCAGCUGCGGUAAUACAUGGGGGGCAAGCGUUAUCCGGAUUUAUUGGGCGUAAAGGGUGCGUAGGCGGUUUAAUAAGUCUAUGGUCUAAGUUCAACGCUUAACGUUGUGAUGCUAUAGAAACUGUUUGACUAGAGUUGGAUAGAGGCAAGUGGAAUUCCAUGUGUAGCGGUAAAAUGCGUAAAGAUAUGGAGGAACACCAGUAGCGAAGGCGGCUUGCUGGGUCUUAACUGACGCUGAGGCACGAAAGCGUGGGGAGCAAACAGGAUUAGAUACCCUGGUAGUCCACGCCGUAAACGAUGAGUACUAAGUGUUGGGUUAAACCAGUGCUGAAGUUAACGCAUUAAGUACUCCGCCUGAGUAGUACGUACGCAAGUAUGAAACUUAAAGGAAUUGACGGGACUCCGCACAAGCGGUGGAUCAUGUUGUUUAAUUCGAAGAUACACGAAAAACCUUACCAGGUCUUGACAUACUCUGCAAAGCUAUAGAAAUAUAGUGGAGGUUAUCAGGGAUACAGGUGGUGCAUGGUUGUCGUCAGCUCGUGUCGUGAGAUGUUGGGUUAAGUCCCGCAACGAGCGCAACCCUUAUCGCUAGUUACCAUCAUUUAGUUGGGCACUUUAGUGAGACUGCCAAUGAUAAAUUGGAGGAAGGUGGGGAUUACGUCAAAUCAUCAUGCCCCUUAUGACCUGGGCUACAAACGUGAUACAAUGGCUGUUACAAAGAGUAGCUGAAGCGUGAGUUUUUAGCAAAUCUCAAAAAAACAGUCUCAGUUCGGAUUGAAGUCUGCAACUCGACUUCAUGAAGUCGGAAUCGCUAGUAAUCGCGAAUCAGCAUGUCGUGGUGAAUACGUUCUCGGGGUUUGUACACACCGCCCGUCAAACCAUGAAAGUUGACAAUACCCGAAACCAGUAGCCUAACUUGCAAAAGAGGGAACUGUCUAAGGUAGGGUUGAUGAUUGGGGUUAAGUCGUAACAAGGUAUCCCUACCGGAAGGUGGGGAUGGAUCACCUCCUUUCUAAGGAAA
RNAcentral lists this ribosomal RNA (1392 nucleotides) under Candidatus Phytoplasma pyri. Its description in RNAcentral is "bacterial SSU rRNA". It matches the Rfam family "Bacterial small subunit ribosomal RNA". Lineage: Bacteria; Bacillati; Mycoplasmatota; Mollicutes; Acholeplasmatales; Acholeplasmataceae. The record is from RNAcentral.